CUCUUUACAGGUGCUGUUAAAGGUGACGCAGGUGGAUCAAACGCAUUAAAAAGUGAAGGGUUUGGUGAAUCUGCAAAGGAAACUUUGGGCCUAACAGCCGCCAUCAUUUCUGUCAUGUGUUUGAUCAUCAUUAUCAUGGGAUUAAUUUACAAGAAGAAGCUCAACUUCAUCAACACUGGAUUUCAGAAGAAUUAUAAUAUGGAUGUGCAUGAAAAAAUCCUCAGUAAAUGUUCAGAUAGAGAAACAGUGUAACUACAGCAUCACAUUAAUAUGUAAUAUAUUCAUGUUUUAACUAAAAAAAAAAAACUGCAUAUAUGCAGGAGAUAAAAUCAUUUGUGUGUACAUACAAGAUCAAAUUUACUGACUGUUGAAGACUGCGGUUGUAAGCUUCACUGUGUAUUUAUCACAUUAAUAUGUAAUAUAUUCAUGUUUUAUCUAAAGAUCAUGAUGGAUUGUGAGUCUGUAAAGUUACAAGCCACAUCAAAUCUGCUGUUCACAAAAAUAAAGAUAAAACCAUUUACAUACCAGAUCAAAUCUACUGACUGUUAAAGACUAUGGUUGUAAAAUCUGUGAAGUAUUAUUAUUAUUGAUCUGUUUGAUCAGUGUAAAUACAUCUUAAAUGUACAUUUCCUUAUAGUUUUCUAUGCAUAUUAAGGAGAAACUCUUGGUCUGCAUUGAUAGAUCUGUAGAAACAUAAAUUUGUGUUUCAUUUUAUCUAUUACAUUAUUUCAUUUAACAUUAAUUCAAUUAUAUCAUGCAUUUAUCAUUUUAUCAUUUACUUUUUUAUUAUUUUUAUAUUAUAUUUAUUUUAUUCUAUCUAGUUAUUCUACAUAUAUUUGUUAUCCCUCCUUUUAUGUUUGGGAUCAAAUUGACCCCAAAGCUUUGACAUCAUUGAAAAAUAUGCUAAUUGUAUUUUUAAACCUUUAAAUCUA
Misgurnus anguillicaudatus (oriental weatherfish) is the source of this 932-nucleotide non-coding RNA. NCBI's taxonomy places the organism in Eukaryota, Metazoa, Chordata, Actinopteri, Cypriniformes, Cobitidae. The record is from RefSeq and is a predicted model, not a curated record.